GGGGAAUUUUGGACAAUGGGCGCAAGCCUGAUCCAGCCAUGCCGCGUGUCUGAAGAAGGCCUUCGGGUUGUAAAGGACUUUUGUCAGGGAAGAAAAGGCUGUUGCUAAUACCGACAGUUGAUGACGGUACCUGAAGAAUAAGCACCGGCUAACUACGUGCCAGCAGCCGCGGUAAUACGUAGGGUGCGAGCGUUAAUCGGAAUUACUGGGCGUAAAGCGAGCGCAGACGGUUACUUAAGCAGGAUGUGAAAUCCCCGGGCUCAACCUGGGAACUGCGUUCUGAACUGGGUGACUAGAGUGUGUCAGAGGGAGGUAGGAUUCCACGUGUAGCAGUGAAAUGCGUAGAGAUGUGGAGGAAUACCGAUGGCGAAGGCAGCCUCCUGGGAUAACACUGACGUUCAUGCUCGAAAGCGUGGGUAGCAAACAGGAUUAGAUACCCUGGUAGUCCACGCCCUAAACGAUGUCAAUUAGCUGUUGGGCAACUUGAUUGCUUAGUAGCGUAGCUAACGCGUGAAAUUGACCGCCUGGGGAGUACGGUCGCAAGAUUA
Molecule: ribosomal RNA, 548 nt
Filed under: uncultured bacterium
Lineage: Bacteria
Description: bacterial SSU rRNA
Rfam family: Bacterial small subunit ribosomal RNA
Source: RNAcentral